AGCGCCCUACGGGACGCAGCAGUGGGGGAUAUUGCACAAUGGGGGAAACCCUGAUGCAGCGACGCCGCGUGUGGGAAGACGGUGCUCUGGAUUGUAAGCCACUGUCCCCAGGGACGAAGAUGACGGUACCUGGGGAGGAAGCUCCGGCUAACUACGUGCCAGCAGCCGCGGUAAUACGUAGGGAGCAAGCGUUGUCCGGAAUUACUGGGUGUAAAGGGAGCGUAGGCGGGAUGGCAAGUUGGGUGUUAAAUCUACCGGCUCAACUGGUAGUCGCACUCAAAACUGCUAUUCUUGAUUGAAGUAGG
RNAcentral lists this ribosomal RNA (305 nucleotides) under uncultured bacterium. RNAcentral's name for it is "bacterial SSU rRNA". It matches the Rfam family "Bacterial small subunit ribosomal RNA", at positions 333 to 655 of the family's 1533-position model. The record is from RNAcentral.